RNAcentral lists this ribosomal RNA (253 nucleotides) under uncultured bacterium. Its description in RNAcentral is "partial 16S ribosomal RNA". It matches the Rfam family "Bacterial small subunit ribosomal RNA", at positions 524 to 776 of the family's 1533-position model. The record is from RNAcentral.
GACAGAGGAUGCAAGCGUUAUCCGGAAUGAUUGGGCGUAAAGCGUCUGUAGGUGGCUUUUUAAGUCUGCCGUCAAAUCCCAGGGCUUAACCCUGGACAGGCGGUGGAAACUACCAAGCUGGAGUACGGUAGGGGCAGGAGGAAUUUCCGGUGGAGCGGUGAAAUGCGUAGAGAUCGGAAAGAACACCAACGGCGAAAGCACUCUGCUGGGCCGACACUGACACUGAGAGACGAAAGCUAGGGGAGCGAAUGGG